GAUGAACGCUAGCGGCAGGCCUAACACAUGCAAGUCGAGGGAUAAGCCUUCGGGCUAAGACCGGCGCACGGGUGCGUAACGCGUAUACAAUCUGCCUUUUAUCCGGGGGAUAGCCCGAAGAAAUUUGGAUUAAUACCCUAUGGUAUAAGAGCACGGCAUCGUGCACUUAUUAAAGCUACGGCGGUAAAAGAUGAGUAUGCGUUCUAUUAGCUAGUUGGAGAGGUAACGGCUCCCCAAGGCGACGAUAGAUAGGGGUUCUGAGAGGGAUGUCCCCCACACUGGUACUGCGAUACGGACCAGACUCCUACGGGAGGCAGCAGUGAGGAAUAUUGGACAAUGGUCGGAAGACUGAUCCAGCCAUGCCGCGUGCAGGAUGACGGCCUUAUGGGUUGUAAACUGCUUUUGUAAGGGAAGAAUAAGGAGUACGUGUACUUUGAUGACGGUACCUUACGAAUAAGCAUCGGCUAACUCCGUG
RNAcentral lists this ribosomal RNA (475 nucleotides) under uncultured bacterium. Its description in RNAcentral is "partial 16S ribosomal RNA". It matches the Rfam family "Bacterial small subunit ribosomal RNA", at positions 28 to 507 of the family's 1533-position model. The record is from RNAcentral.